RNAcentral lists this ribosomal RNA (460 nucleotides) under uncultured bacterium. Its description in RNAcentral is "partial 16S ribosomal RNA". It matches the Rfam family "Bacterial small subunit ribosomal RNA", at positions 338 to 795 of the family's 1533-position model. The record is from RNAcentral.
CCUACGGGUGGCAGCAGUGAGGAAUAUUGGUCAAUGGACGAGAGUCUGAACCAGCCAAGUAGCGUGAAGGAUGACUGCCCUAUGGGUUGUAAACUUCUUUUAUAUGGGAAUAAAACGUUCCACGUGUGGGAUUUUGUAUGUACCAUAUGAAUAAGGAUCGGCUAACUCCGUGCCAGCAGCCGCGGUAAUACGGAGGAUCCGAGCGUUAUCCGGAUUUAUUGGGUUUAAAGGGAGCGUAGGUGGAUUGUUAAGUCAGUUGUGAAAGUUUGCGGCUCAACCGUAAAAUUGCAGUUGAAACUGGCAGUCUUGAGUACAGUAGGGGUGGGCGGAAUUCGUGGUGUAGCGGUGAAAUGCUUAGAUAUCACGAAGAACUCCGAUUGCGAAGGCAGUUCACUGGACUGCAACUGACACUGAGGCUCGAAAGUGUGGGUAUCAAACAGGAUUAGAUACCCCAGUAGUC